Ribosomal RNA from Cavia porcellus (domestic guinea pig), 118 nucleotides. The record is from Ensembl. NCBI's taxonomy places the organism in Eukaryota, Metazoa, Chordata, Mammalia, Rodentia, Caviidae.
GUCUUCAGCCAUACCACCCUGAAUGCACCUGAUCUUGUCUGAUCUCAGAAGCUAAGCAGGGUUUGGCUUGGUUAGUAGUUGGGUGAGAGACUGUCUCUAAAACAACACACCUACAACU